RNAcentral lists this ribosomal RNA (253 nucleotides) under uncultured bacterium. Its description in RNAcentral is "partial 16S ribosomal RNA". It matches the Rfam family "Bacterial small subunit ribosomal RNA", at positions 524 to 776 of the family's 1533-position model. The record is from RNAcentral.
UACAGAGGGUGCGAGCGUUGUCCGGAAUUAUUGGGCGUAAAGAGCUCGUAGGCGGUUUGUCGCGUCGGCUGUGAAAACCUGGGGCUCAACCCCGGGCCUGCAGCCGAUACGGGCAAACUAGAAUUCGGUAGGGGAGACUGGAAUUCCUGGUGUAGCGGUGAAAUGCGCAGAUAUCAGGAGGAACACCGGUGGCGAAGGCGGGUCUCUGGGCCGAUAUUGACGCUGAGGAGCGAAAGCGUGGGGAGCAAACAGG